CGUACACUCCUGCGGGAGGCAGCAGUGGGGAAUAUUAGACAAUGGGCGCAAGCCUGAUCCAGCCAUGCCGCGUGAGUGAUGAAGGCCCUAGGGUUGUAAAGCUCUUUCACCGGUGAAGAUAAUGACGGUAACCGGAGAAGAAGCCCCGGCUAACUUCGUGCCAGCAGCCGCGGUAAUACGAAGGGGGCUAGCGUUGUUCGGAUUUACUGGGCGUAAAGCGCACGUAGGCGGACUAUUAAGUCAGGGUUGAAAUCCCGGGGCUCAACCCCGGAACUGCCUUUGAUACUGGUAGUCUUGAGUUCGAGAGAGGUGAGUGGAAUUCCGAGUGUAGAGGUGAAAUUCGUAGAUAUUCGGAGGAACACCAGUGGCGAAGGCGGCUCACUGGCUCGAUACUGACGCUGAGGUGCGAAAGCGUGGGGAGCAAACAGGAUUAGAAACCCGGGUAGUCCCAUGAU
RNAcentral lists this ribosomal RNA (455 nucleotides) under uncultured organism. RNAcentral's name for it is "partial 16S ribosomal RNA". It matches the Rfam family "Bacterial small subunit ribosomal RNA", at positions 330 to 801 of the family's 1533-position model. The record is from RNAcentral.